UACGUAGGGUGCAAGCGUUAAUCGGAAUUACUGGGCGUAAAGCGUGCGUAGGCGGUUGUGUAAGACAGAUUUGAAAUCCCCGGGCUCAACCUGGGAACUGCAUUUGUGACUGCACGGCUCGAGUGCGGCAGAGGGGGAUGGAAUUCCGCGUGUAGCAGUGAAAUGCGUAGAUAUGCGGAGGAACACCGAUGGCGAAGGCAAUCCCCUGGGCCUGCACUGACGCUCAUGCACGAAAGCGUGGGGAGCAAACAGG
This 253-nucleotide ribosomal RNA is filed under the name uncultured bacterium. Its description in RNAcentral is "partial 16S ribosomal RNA". It matches the Rfam family "Bacterial small subunit ribosomal RNA", at positions 524 to 776 of the family's 1533-position model. The record is from RNAcentral.